Long non-coding RNA from Cuculus canorus (common cuckoo), 514 nucleotides. RefSeq lists it as uncharacterized. The record is from RefSeq and is a predicted model, not a curated record. NCBI's taxonomy places the organism in Eukaryota, Metazoa, Chordata, Aves, Cuculiformes, Cuculidae. The transcript is spliced from 3 exons.
AAGAGGACAGAGAAAACACAUUACAGAGAGUCAGUCAGCCUCUGGGAUGCGUAGGAGGCUUGUUGCAGCUCCCAGUGUGGUGUGCAAGAAGAGAGAUGACUGAGGGCUAGCCUGGGAGGAAACGUUAAAUUCUCGCUGCCAUUUUGGGGAGCAGACGUCUCCUUCCACCAGCAAGCGAGAGAAGACACGAUGGCAAACUGGUGUGUCCAGUCAGAGUGGGAGAGCAGCCAUGGACCAGAGCUGCUGCAGAUUUGUUCCUGGGAUGGUGACUGUACGGAGUGGCUGACACAGACCUGAGAAUCAGUCAAAAGUAAUUGAAACAGAAGAAGCUCAGCAAUCAACCUAUUAGGUUGCUGGAGCCAGAAAAAUGCUGCUAUGAGGAACCAGAGAAAGGAGAACCAACUUUCCUUCUGAAAACUUAAUGUGGGGAAGAAGCUUCAGCUGCGCUGUCUUUUCUUAUCAGAAGAAUGAAAAUCUGUGGAAUUCUCUUUCUGUGUAUUCUUGUCCUUUGAAA